AGAGUUUGAUUCUGGCUCAGGAUGAACGCUGGCGGCGUGCUUAACACAUGCAAGUCGAGCGAAGCACCUAAGAAAGAUUCUUCGGAUGAAUUCUUUUGUGACUGAGCGGCGGACGGGUGAGUAACGCGUGAGUAACCUGCCUCAUACAGGGGGAUAACAGUUAGAAAUGACUGCUAAUACCGCAUAAGACCACGGUACCGCAUGGUACAGUGGUAAAAACUCCGGUGGUAUGAGAUGGACCCGCGUCUGAUUAGCUAGUUGGUGGGGUAACGGCCUACCAAGGCGACGAUCAGUAGCCGACCUGAGAGGGUGACCGGCCACAUUGGGACUGAGACACGGCCCAA
This 344-nucleotide ribosomal RNA is filed under the name uncultured bacterium. RNAcentral's name for it is "bacterial SSU rRNA". It matches the Rfam family "Bacterial small subunit ribosomal RNA", at positions 8 to 334 of the family's 1533-position model. The record is from RNAcentral.